UCUUACAAAAUGAAACAAAAGAUACCGCCAAACUAUAAUGGUAGACGCGGUUUAUGUAUACUGUGAGCCAAGGAUUCUUACAUGGACCAAAGGACAAUAUGUGCAUAUGCUAGGAUAGAUAAGCAUCACAUGCUUAGAUGAGGGAGAGACGGUGCAGAAUCCAUUCCCUUUGGCUAAAAUAAUUUCCUAAAGGGGUGACACUCUUAUAAAUAACAUGAAAGAGUGCAGGGAUGUCAUACAACAGUUGGUCAUUCAAUUUGAGCUUGGUAAAGAUGGUGAGAAAGGAAAAGUUAGUAUUUGCUCUUGCAUGGCUGCUGCUAAUGGCAUCCAUUAUUAUGUCAGCAAACGCAAUGGCAGGUGCUCGCCUCAAUAAAAUUGAGCAUAUGGUUCAUCCCCAAGGUUGUCGCUGCUGCUGGUUCAUUUGGAAGCCUGUAAUCCGCUGUGGAAAAGUAUGUUGUGAAGACGGAUGUUGUACUUAAACUUGACGCAUAAGCAUCAGGGAGGGGGGGUUGGGUAAGAGGAGUGUCUUGUUUAUGUGCUGGUAGAAGGUAUGCUUGUCCUAAUAGAUUGGGGCUGAUGCUUAUCAAAUAAAAAGAUAGAAUAAAUAAGUGUUGUUGAAAUACCAUCAUGCAAGGAGAAGAAAGCUCUAACCUCUGUUUUAUUUAAAGGAGGUUUUCUGUGAGUA
Molecule: long non-coding RNA, 685 nt
Organism: Quercus robur (English oak)
Lineage: Eukaryota; Viridiplantae; Streptophyta; Magnoliopsida; Fagales; Fagaceae
Exons: 2
Source: RefSeq, a predicted model, not a curated record